UACGAAGGGGGCUAGCGUUGCUCGGAAUUACUGGGCGUAAAGCGCACGUAGGCGGAUAUUUAAGUCGGUGGUGAAAUCCUGGAGCUCAACUCCAGAACUGCCUCCGAUACUGAAUGUCUUCGAGUCCGGGAGAGGUGAGUGGAACUGCGAGUGUAGAGGUGAAAUUCGUAGAUAUUCGCAAGAACACCAGCGGCGAAGGCGGCCUUCUGGACGGUGACUGACGCUGAGACGCGAAAGCGUGGGGAGCAAACAGG
RNAcentral lists this ribosomal RNA (254 nucleotides) under uncultured bacterium. RNAcentral describes it as "partial 16S ribosomal RNA". It matches the Rfam family "Bacterial small subunit ribosomal RNA", at positions 524 to 776 of the family's 1533-position model. The record is from RNAcentral.